AGUCGCUAGGGGAGCACAUGCUGAGAUUGUGUGUGGAAAUUGUGAAUAUCCGCACACUGACCCUCACUACCUGAACCGGGUAAUACCGGCGUAGGGAAGCAGAUUU
This 106-nucleotide non-coding RNA is filed under the name pig gut metagenome. The record is from RNAcentral.